CUACGGGUUGCUCCAGUGAGGAAUACUGCACAAUGGGGGGAACCCUGAUGCAGCAACGCCGCGUGGAGGAUGACGCAUUUCGGUGUGUAAACUCCUUUUAUAUGUCAAGAAAAUGACGGUAGCAUAUGAAUAAGCACCGGCUAACUCCGUGCCAGCAGCCGCGGUAAUACGGGAGGGUGCAAGCGUUACUCGGAAUCACUGGGCGUAAAGGACGCGUAGGCGGGUUGGAAAGUCAGGUGUGAAAUCCUACAGCUUAACUGUAGAACUGCACUUGAAACUUCUAAUCUAGAGUAUGGGAGGGGGAGAUGGAAUUAGUGGUGUAGGGGUAAAAUCCGUAGAUAUCACUAGGAAUACCUAAAGCGAAGGCGAUCUCCUGGAACAUUACUGACGCUAAGGCGUGAAAGCGUGGGGAGCAAACAGGAUUAGAUACCCCUGUAGUC
This 440-nucleotide ribosomal RNA is filed under the name uncultured bacterium. RNAcentral describes it as "partial 16S ribosomal RNA". It matches the Rfam family "Bacterial small subunit ribosomal RNA", at positions 339 to 795 of the family's 1533-position model. The record is from RNAcentral.